This 1389-nucleotide ribosomal RNA is filed under the name uncultured organism. Its description in RNAcentral is "16S ribosomal RNA". It matches the Rfam family "Bacterial small subunit ribosomal RNA", at positions 93 to 1468 of the family's 1533-position model. The record is from RNAcentral.
GAGCGGCGAACGGGUGAGUAAUACGUGAGCAACCUGCCUCGAAGUUCGGGAUAGCCCGCCGAAAGGCGGAUUAAUACCGGAUGUGGUCCCCCGGUGCAUACCGGGGUGUCUAAAGAUGGGGAUCUUCGGACCUGUCGCUUCGAGAUGGGCUCGCGUCCUAUCAGCUUGUUGGCGGGGUAAUGGCCCACCAAGGCGAUGACGGGUAGCUGGUCUGAGAGGAUGGUCAGCCACACUGGGACUGAGACACUGCCCAGACUCCUACGGGAGGCUGCAGUCGAGAAUCAUUGUCAAUGCGCGAAAGCGUGAACAUGCGACGCCGCGUGCAGGAUGACGGCCUUCGGGUUGUAAACUGCUGUCUGAGGAACAAAGCUUGCGCGUGAACAGCGCGGGAGUUGAUUGUCCUCAGAGAACCACGGCUAACUCUGUGCCAGCAGCCGCGGUAAUACAGAGGUGGGACGUGUCGGAAUCCUGGGCGUAAGGGUGCGUAGCGGUCCGGUAUGUCGAUGUGAAAUAUUGCGGUCAACCGCAAAGGUCUUCGAAACUGCGAACUGGAGUACUGGAAGGAGAGCGGAAUUCUUGGUGUAGCGGUGAAUGCGUAGAUCUCAGAAGAACGCCGGUGGCGAAGGCGGUCUCUGGACGAUACUGACGCUGAGGCCGAAAGCUGGGGGAGCAAACAGGAUUAGAUACCCUGGUAGUCCCAGCCGUAACGUUGUGCACUUGGUGUAGGAGGAAUUAUCCCCUUCUGUGCCGGAGUUACGCGUUAAGUGCACCGCCUGGGGAGUACGGCCGCAAGGCUAAAAAACUCAAAGGAAUUUGACGGGGGCCCGCACAAGCGGUGGAGCAUGUUUGGCUUAAAUUUCCGAAUGCAACGCGAAGAACCUUACCUGGGCUUGACAUGGAGAGGCUUCGGGCCUAAACCGGUGAAAGUCGGGUUGAACUCACACAGGUGCUGCAUGGCUGUCGUCAGCUCGUGCCGUGAGUGUUGGGUUAAGUCCCGCAACGAGCGNCAACCCCUGUCAGUUAGUUGCCAACUUCCCGCAGAAAUGCGGGAAGCACUCAGCGAGACUGCCUGGACAAGCAGGAAGGAAGGUGGGGAUGACGUCAAGUCAGUAUGGUCCUUAUGCCCAGGGCUGCACACGUGCUACAAUGNGGCGGUACAAAAGGAAGCGAAGCCGCGAGGUGGAGCAAAUCCUCAAAGCCGUCCUCAGUUCGGAUCCAGUCUGCAACCCCCGACUGCGUGAAGCUGGAAUCGCUAGUAAAGGCGUAUCAGCUACGACGCCUUGAAUACGUUCCCGGGCAUUGUACACACCGCCCGUCACAUCAUGAAAGCCGAUUGCACCCGAAGUCGCCGGGCUAACCUUUACUGGAGGCAGGCGCCGAAGGUGUGAU